CAAAACAUAGCUUAAUAAAAGCAUCUCGUUUACACCGAGAAGUUGUCUGUUGUACUCAGAUUGUUUUGA
Molecule: transfer RNA, 69 nt
Filed under: Indirana sp. 3 KR-2003
Lineage: Eukaryota; Metazoa; Chordata; Amphibia; Anura; Ranixalidae
Description: tRNA-Val
Rfam family: tRNA
About the family: Transfer RNA (tRNA) molecules are approximately 80 nucleotides in length. Their secondary structure includes four short double-helical elements and three loops (D, anti-codon, and T loops).
Source: RNAcentral